ACCCUAAAGGCCUCGGUCUCCUCCAUUCCACUAACUCGACCUCAGCCUCCCUCUCUUUGCUUGUCUAUACUCGACCUCAGCCCCAAAUUUCAGAUCUUCAUAAACCCAGAUGAAAUCUCCCUCUCACUCUCUCAGUCCCUCCCUCACCCUUCUCUGAGUUGUCUAUCUCUCUCUCCUUCCAUUACCAGCUCCUGCUCCAGUCUCGAUCUCCUAAUAUCGAAAUCCUCCUCCCCUCUCUCCGUCAUGGAAUCAAAACUGAAGGUCAAGGCUUGACCGUUACUUUUUCUCAACGUCUCUCUCUCUCUCUCUGUGAUCAAAGUUUCUUCUUCUUCUUCUCUGCAAUACCCAGAUUCUUUCCUCUUCUUUGUUUCUUUUGUUUGCACAUUCAAACAUUCUUCAUGUUGGAGUGAGGCUGUUGAACUCCUCUGCUAAUCAGGCUCAGAAUAUCCUUAUGUAUCUGGCAAGAAACUUGAUUAUUGCAAAUUGUGUUUAUGUUUCUGUUGGACAAUUUGGAUUGUUUUCUGUUAACCAAUGUAUUCUGGACUCUUGAGUUUGUGUUGUAAACUGUAAACUAUGGCUAAACUUGAUUAUUGCAAAUUGAUUAUAGUUAUGCUAAUGAGUUUA
This is a long non-coding RNA of Rosa chinensis, 624 nucleotides long. RefSeq lists it as uncharacterized. The record is from RefSeq and is a predicted model, not a curated record. The transcript has 2 exons. NCBI's taxonomy places the organism in Eukaryota, Viridiplantae, Streptophyta, Magnoliopsida, Rosales, Rosaceae.